AGUGAACGCUGGCGGUAGGCCUAACACAUGCAAGUCGAACGGCAGCACAGUAAGAGCUUGCUCUUACGGGUGGCGAGUGGCGGACGGGUGAGGAAUACAUCGGAAUCUACUUUUUCGUGGGGGAUAACGUAGGGAAACUUACGCUAAUACCGCAUACGACCUACGGGUGAAAGCAGGGGAUCUUCGGACCUUGCGCGAUUGAAUGAGCCGAUGUCGGAUUAGCUAGUUGGCGGGGUAAAGGCCCACCAAGGCGACGAUCCGUAGCUGGUCUGAGAGGAUGAGCGGCAGAGCUGGGAGGAAUAGACGAUGCGGGGCGCUAGGCGAGGCAGCAGAGGGGAAGUGUGGACAGGGGGCCUGAGCGUGAUACAGCCAUUCUGGGUGGAAAAAAAAGGCGUCCGGUUUGUAAAGCCCUUUUGGUGGGAAAGAAAAGAAGCAGCUUAAGACCACGCUGUGCUGGCGGUACCCGAAAUAUAAGCAACGACUCACUUCGUG
Molecule: ribosomal RNA, 492 nt
Filed under: uncultured bacterium
Lineage: Bacteria
Description: partial 16S ribosomal RNA
Rfam family: Bacterial small subunit ribosomal RNA
Source: RNAcentral